GGCGUGCUUACACAUGCAAGUCGAGUGCGCGGUGCCAUAGCAAUACGGUACUGGCGCACGGCGCACGGGUGCGUAACACGUGGGUAAUCUGCCCUCUGAUGGGGAAUAACCCGCCGAAAGGCGGGCUAAUACCGCAUAAUAUUCCUUGGACUCCGGUUUGAGGACUCAAAGCCGUAAGGCGUCGGAGGUGGAGCCCGCGCACGAUUAGCUAGUUGGUAGGGUAACGGCCUACCAAGGCUAUGAUCGUUAGCUGGUCUGAGAGGAUGGCCAGCCACACUGGAACUGAGACACGGUCCAGACUCCUACGGGAGGCAGCAGUGGGGAAUCUUGCGCAAUGGGCGAAAGCCUGACGCAGCGACGCCGCGUGGGGGAUGAAGCUUCUCGGAGUGUAAACCCCUUUCGACCGGGACGAAUACCUCGCAAGAGGGGUGACGGUACCGGUAUAAGAAGCCCCGGCUAACUAC
This 464-nucleotide ribosomal RNA is filed under the name uncultured bacterium. RNAcentral describes it as "bacterial SSU rRNA". It matches the Rfam family "Bacterial small subunit ribosomal RNA", at positions 41 to 504 of the family's 1533-position model. The record is from RNAcentral.